GCAGCCAGCCUCCUUGUCCUCGGGGAGCACUUCCUCCCCUCUGCAAUGGGAAUGUUUUUUGGACUGGAAUUGCUGCUAUUUGCAAACUUGUUCAGCCCCUGACUUUUCUCGUUGGGUGAGUGCGGCUCUCCCGCACAGAGCAACGCGCACCUGCUGUCUGCCAGCACUGAGUGACGGCUGCUGAUGGAAUCUACGUGGGAAAGCCCUUCGCCAUCAAAAGGCUCUGGCUGUGUGGACGGAUGCAGAGUACUGCCCGUUGGCUCUGACCUAGCCAGGCACAAGCCAGCUCCAGGCUGGGAGCGCACCGCAGCGCGUGCUGGCUGGCCACUGACCCCGAGCUGUCCCAGCCUGGCUGGAACUGCAUCCCCACGUGCUGAGGAGAGCUGCCCUCUGGAAGGCGUCUCUGCUGCUGCUGUGAGAACACAAUCCUGGUGAGAGAGGCCCAGCUAAGCACAGCUCCUUUCAGAUUUGGCCGCUCAGUGUUUUCCAUUAGCUUGAUACAUGCUGUUUACAUCCUACUGCCGCCAGUGCCAGAGAUAACUGCCUUGGGAGCAGCUCCCUGCAGGUAUUGUUAGCAGCUGCUGGAAACAAAGGCGUUUGUUUUAGCCACGUCACUGUCUAAACAGCCAGAAAUAGAUUGCUUUUUUUAUUGCUAGUACGCCAAUAAAAAUCGGUCCGGUUCUCCUGGCCAAAAGAUGCCUUCUGAGAAUCUUGCGUGCUGUGAGGGCUGGCAUCUGUGCAAACAGCCCAGCAACAGCAAAGAGCGUGAUGCUGAGGCGAAGAAUGCAUGAAGGGCUCUCGUGGCAACCAAGCAUUUCUCCUCCACGUGUCAUCACCACCAGCAUCCGCUGCUUGCACUUGGACAGCAUUGCUUCCAGCCAACACCAUGUGGUUCCUUGCCGCAUAGUUUGCUUCUGUCUCUUUUCAGACUGUAAGCUGAGACUGCAGAACACGCGCCGUCUCAGCUAGAAACUUAACUCUGAUUUUAAAAACAAAUCAAAAAAUCCAGCCAGCUGCUGAUGCCCUUCCUUUCUGCACUGAAUCACAGGGAGCGUGGAGGCCGUGCUAUUACACUGAUUCCAGAGAUGGUGAUCAGGAAAAUACUGUCUGUGCUCCUCAGAAGGACUUGAUGCGAACUGUUGCCAGAGAUUUGUCACUCGGUGGAUGGAGUGCGGGAUGGAACAUAGCAGCUCCUGCUGGUGCCUUUGUCAUUGCUCCAAGGUGUGAGACCACUCGUGCAGCAAGGGGAGGGAGAGGGAUCAGAGCUCAGGAUGGUCCUCAGGUGGAGAAAGGCAGCAUGGAGAUGGCUACAGUGAGAAGAUCAAUGCUCAAGCAAGGCCACCGGGUUCAUGCCAGCACCCAGAGACCAGGGCUCUGGUGUCCCCAGCCCACAUGCAGUGAUAUCCAAAAGAGCAUGGGAUGUGACAGAAGUCACCCAUCAGAGACAGGCACGUGGGAGUGUAGCAAGAGAUGUUUUGUAAUCAUAAAAGCAACCAACAGCAUUGUAAAGGCUGCAAAGCAGAGACUGGUGAGAAUGUGUAGCUCCAACAUUCAGCAUGAAUUGGCAAAGCAGGCAUGUAAGUAAUCAUAGAGGGCCAUUGUGCGACUGAGUCCAAACUGCUGUUUGAUGAAAUUACUUCUCUGAAUAAGUCUCACUUAACCUACAGUAAAUACCUCUGAAUAAAAUGUCCAGCCUUAAUAUACAACAUUUUAAAUGACAGAGAAUUUAUCCCAACCUUUGGCAAAUAGUUCAAACAGAUUAUCAGCCUUUCUGUUUAGAACCGUCUUAGUGUUUCUAGCACAAAUUAAUCGGGGUGGAGUGUCUAAUUGCUGGUAACUGGAUCUGUUAUGGCUCCAUGUGCCAAGCUGGCAGCUCCUGUUACCAGAUUCCUGCUUCUCAGAGGCAGCCCUUGCAGGGAGAGAGCUGUGAUUCUGCAGUGGGACCGGUGCUGGAACUGGGGAGGCUGCCCCAGGCCUCUGCCUGUGCCGGCCUUGCUCUCAGUGUGACAUGGCGGCUCUGGGCUGUGGAGGAGGUCUGGAUACUAGCUCAAGGGCUGCUGCCGUCCUUCUGGCCUGGGAUGACCCAAAUCUGCUCCUACAACCUGUUGGACAGGAGCUUGUUGAGGCACGGGGAAGCUCCAUGGGGUUGGACUGGAUUUUAUUGCUGUGGUUUCCCAGGCCGCUCUUGGGGACCAACGUUUUCUCUGUCAGAGUGAAAGCGUGCCUGACAGAGGGAGUUGUUUCAGAGCUAAACAACGUCUGUGUUUAAACAUUUGUUUUUAAUUAGGCUUCUGCUCUGUGGCCAAUUAUGAAGCCUGAAACCACUGGGCAUCAGUAGAGCCAUCCCUUGUCAAAGCCGCCAUACUUGCUGCUCCUCACUCUCUGGCGGGAGGCCCCGUCUGCUCACCCCUUUGUUUCCUCCUGCAGCCAUCCUGCAGCUCUCCUCCUUUCUCCUGCUGACCCUUAAGCUAUUUUCAGUAAACCUCUUUCUUUUCCCAGUGGGGGCAUUCUGUAAUUAAGGAGGCAGUGAUAACAUCUAGUGAUUAUUUACUGAUGUCCUUUAAAAAGGGAGCUCUGAGCCUGUCCCCUCUUCUCCCUUCCUUGCCAUAAACAGAGCUUAGUGUGGAACCUGGAGCUACGCUGAUGUGUGUGCUGAUUAGAUGCCUCUUCUUAGUUCAACUUGUUUGUCCAUACUGACCAUUUCCUACACGUUAAGGCCUUUUAGAAAGAGGACACUUUCCUGCCCAGCCUUCUCCCAUUUUUUGAGCACGUGUCCCCACUCACUGCAUUGGGUGCCCCAGAAAGGAGAGAGACAACCCAAUCUAGCGCAACGCCUUUGCUGUGGUGCCUGCGGGGAGCUGUCACACAGAUGGCCUCAUCCCAGGUCUCCUUUAUUGAUGUUGUUACACAGCCCUGCGCUAUGGCAACUGGAGCAGGAGAGAUGAGGGCCCCAAGAUGGCUGCCUGGGCUGGGGGUGUUGAUCCAGUGUGGGUGAGUCACAGGGCCGUGCUUCACCUCAGCCACCUCCGGCAGCUCUGCUGUGAGUCACCGCAGCCUGAGAAGACUUGCAGCACUUCCUGGGCCACGGGGAGGAGGGCAUCGGGUGACAACAUCACCUGUCAUGGGGAUGGAGUCAUGUGGAGAUCCGCUUUGGGAGCGGGAGGAAACAGCACCCCAGGAAGGGCUCUCAGGUGUCCCAGCUGGGUGUGUGUUUUGGUGUUAUGGGACCUACAGGGCAAAGACACUUCCCACAGGGGAGCAAGGAGGGGUGGCAAGGUGUGUACGCAUCACUCUGUCACAGCAAAACCUGCAAGACGAGGAGGGGGGAUGCAGCAGAGGGUUUGUGGAGGAGCCAGUCCCCCAGAAACACUGGGGCAGCCCCAUGUUUCAAGUGAGAAGUGUAAUAGACUGGUACGAAGGGGCAAAGUAUCACUGUGCGCAUGCAGGGUGCUCUACCUGGAAGCUCUGGAGCAAUCUUCAGGUCAGGCAGACAACCUCACAGGAGCAGUCCCUCGCCUUUUCCAGAGGAGUCACUUGGCUGGUUGGUGCAUGAAUGCAUGAGAACGAGUCACCAGGUGGAUGUGGCGAGUUCUGGGCACAUUGUGCAUGACCACUGUGUCCCUGCUGUGUCUCAGAUUAUAAAGAUGUGCACUGUAGCUGCAAUGUCAUGAGGCAGCCAAUGGUAGUGCAGGUGGGGUGAGCUCUGGAUGCUCUCCACAGGUGCAUCUGGAGCUGUUUGCAGAAUGUGGCACAGUUCGCUCUGAGAGAUGCCCUAAAAGCCUCCUGUGCACAUCGGGCCAUCCCAGAGGUGCAGGUGUUUUUCUGCUAUACUGCCUGAAUGUGGAUGUGGGAGAGCCGUGGGCUCCAAUCUGUGAAUCCUGGCUUUAUGUGACCAAAGUCUUUGAAGUAGUUCUCCAGAGAAGUGGCUGAAAAGCAAGGGCAUUUCGAAAUGCUCAGAGUGUGGAGGAAACCUGCUGGGUCUGCUGGGUUUUGCUCCAGAAUAGGUAGGGCAGCUCAGGUCCUCAUUUUCUGGAGGCCAGGAAUGUGCUGGGUGUCUCGACGGCCCAAAGGGUACUUGGCUCAUGUACCCCCAGAUAGGCAUUUGGCCCUGUGUGCAUCUUGUUUUCAUGAAUGGAAGAGCUCGGUGUGCCCCAUUCUUUCCACCUGUCUUUUAUCAGUUUACUCUUCAUAAAAGGAUUAUGCUAAUGCAUGUCUUGGCCUCAUCCCAGUGGUGCCUCAUAUCAGCUGGGAGCACCCAGCAGCAGCAGCCAGGCCUUCCUGUUUCAGGACAGAUAUUUGGGGCUGUAUAAGUCGCACACCCUAAAGUUAACUGUUUGGUUACAGGAAGCCACGCUGUUGAUUUGGUGUCCUAAUGACCAUGACUUCAGUGAAACGACUGAGGUUGGAAGGACCCUUUGAGUCAACCAGGUCCAGCCCCAGCUCCAGCAGGGCCACCCAGAGCAGCUCCCCAGGCCCACAUCCAGGUGGCUUUGGGAGAUCUCCAAGGAGGAGACUCAAUAGCCUUUCCGGGCAGCAUGUAUCAUUUCUUCUGUUUUGGGAUGUAGGGCUGCUUAGAAAUAGAACUCUGAUGCUUUAUAAUGAGGAUUUUGGCUCUCCUAUCUUACACAGAGAAUUAAUUUUAUUCAUUUAGUUUGUAAAUGGGUCCAAAUUAGAACACAGUGGGGCAAAGAGGUUGAUGAGAUGAGCAGAGCCACAGGCAUUGCAGCACAGUGACCAUGUGUCAGGAGCAGGUGCUCACUGCUGCCUUGCAGGAGGAGUUUCUCCAGGAGCAGCCGAGCUGGGACAUGCGGUGUGUAAGGGUUGAGCCAUGUGUCAUUACUCAGAGAAGCAAGACAAAUGAGAAAUCAAUUGAACAUCAAACCAUGGCUGCUGAUUGUCUGUGUUGAAAAUAAAUGAUUCAUCGAGUGCUUUAAUUGAUUCAUAUAUGCGGCAGGGAGUUCCAGUCUUGAUUUAUGGACCUUUCCACCAGUCAGGCAGGAAAGUCUUGCUCCCACUCACUUUAUUUGUGCAACAAACAUCCUUUUCUCUUGGCAUGGGUUAAGCCAACCCGCUUGUAAGCUUUUUGUCCCUGACUGUUUACUCUGCUUUAAAGCGAUUGGUCACUUGGCUCACUCAAGUAGUGCUACUGCUAUCAGAACCAGGUAACUGAUUUGGAUUCUAUAUCAGAGGUGUCCAGAAGGCAUCAGCAUAGCCCUAAGCAAAAUGCUGGGCUUUGCAGCUCAGAGAGCUGCAGCCUGCAGUGCACUAUGCCCACAGAUCUAUGUGACUGUGUUAAUGAGACUGCACUUUCUCCCUGCUGCUCUCCCAGCUAAGGAGGAGGUUCUGGAGAUCUGCUUUUUGCCUUCUCACAGCUGUCCCACAGGUUAUCAGAACAGCAGGGCAGCCAGGGGGUGUUGGCUGUGGGUGAGGAGGUGGAUGGUGACUUGCCUAAUCUGUCGGUGGCACUGCAGUGGAUCGGGGAGAGAAGGGCUCCAUCAGCACUGGCACUGGCGGAACGACACAGGGAGAGAAAAAGGCCUUGGAAAGUUGUCGCAGGGUUUGUCAGGAAGCUAAAGGCAGACUCUUAUUAGCCAUGUGUGCCCCCAGUUGUACGGAGGGGAGCAGCCAGCCAGCCCCUUCACCACCCAAGCUGUGUGGUGGUGGUGUUUGCUGUUGGGCUGUGUGUUUUCCUCUAGGUUUGUUCACCUGUCCUGUAGGCUGGGGGCAAAGAAACAGAGCAAGUUGUCUGAAGGGAACUAUAAUAAAAUAUUGCAGAGUGUCCAGGAGGGCUUUGAAGGUGGUGAAGGGUCUGGAGGGCAAGAAGUAUGAGAAGAGGCUGAGGCCUUGGUUUGCUCAGCCCACAGCAGAGGAGGUGAGGGGAGGCCUCAUGGCGGCUGCAGCUCUUCACAGGGAGUGGAGGGGCAGCGCUGAGCUCUGCUCUCUGUGACAGAGACAGGGCCCAAGGGAAUGGCAUGGAGCUGUGUCAGGGGAGGGGCAGGUUGGGUGUUAGGAAAAGAUUCUUCAACAGAGGGUGGUGGGCAUGGUCCCAAGCUGCCAGAGCUCAAGGAGCAUUUGCAUGAUGCUCUCAGACACAGGGUUUCGAUUUUGGAUGGACUCACAGAUCUUCGUGGGUCCCUUCCACCUCAGAAUGUUCCAUGAUUCUAUGAUGCUCCAGUCAAAUGGCGCCAAGCUCCUCUACCUGCCACAAACCACAGGAGAUGCUGCAACUGAUAGGUAGGUUGAAAUGGUGUGAGAAACAAAAUCAACCCCACAGUUGCAAUCUCUUGCAAUGGUUUGCCUCCAAGUUGUAACCCAGUAACCCAGGGGUUGAUUAAGGAUGGAGUCUGAGCAGCCUUUGGCUUUGUACAGCCCACAGCUGCUGCACUGCUGUAGGAUAAACUGGACUGCAGGAUCUGCCUGGCUAAGAAACAGUGCUUUUCAUCAGGCUGUUUCUCAGAUGGAUCUUUUCCUUUUUUCACCUAUUUCUUUACGCUAAUGUCAGGACUGGUGCAGUGGGAACAGAUGAGCUCCUGUUUUUCUGUAUCAGUUCUGCUGAAUUCCAAAUCAUAGCUACUGAGGUUUGCACUGACAGUAGCUACACUAGCCUGGUGGAAAGCAUGCCCAGCCUCUGUAAACACAGGGUGUCUUCAUGAUUUGAUCAACUGGCAUUGUUACCUCAGUCUGUUUGGCAAUGAGACAGUGAACCGUGCUGCCACAUAUGUUUGUCUUUCUUAGGUGAUAUGUUUUUUAUUGUGUCAGAAAGAGUUUGUGCCUUGUGUCAGUCCGCUCCACUCUUGUUUAGGAUGGUGCCCCCACAAAUGAGAAAAAUAAACUUGGAAACCACCCUGGGUCUGCACCAGAGCUGUCUCAAGGCCCCAUGAGCCUGAGCUUCCUGCAGCCCAGCAGUAUAGCAUGAGCAAGUUAUCUGAGUUGCUUUUUCCCUACCAAAUUCCUGGGUUUUGCAACAGAGGGUUUCCAAAGCCUGCCAGGGAUGGGUCCCAGGGCUUUGUUUCCUGGCCAGAGGAGCGGUGUGCGAAUGCACUAAUGGAAAUGGUCUGUGCACAGUUUCUUCAACAACAAGAGAUGUGUUGAAGCUGGGUCUGGUUGUUCCUUCCCUUGGUGCGUAGCUCGCCUGGCUCUGCAGCGUUUCACUGGAGAUAGCAUGGAUUGGGUAUGGCGAGAGGAAGCGGGACUAAGGGUUAAGAGCUUUGACUGAGUUCUGAAUAAGCUGUCUAAGAAAACAGAUACGUUGUGAAAAGUAAGAAGAAAAGAGAUAUGCUGAUGGUUCUGGGCAGUUGCACAUGUGGUUGUUACAGAUAAGGACCAGAUCCUCAUACAGAAGAAUGCUGGGUGUGCUUCUUGUGUUCUUUACUGGUUCAAAGUCAGCAAUGUAAACGUGGGGAGGGUUCCUUGUUCCCCAUAUGAAGGACAUAGGUGAGUCGAGCACUGCUCUGUAAGCGUUGCUUCAGCGCUGGUUCUGCAGAGAGGCUGAAGGAACUCAUUAUUCAUGAUUUUAUCUUACUACCUGAAAUACAUAAAUAGCCUAAAGGUUCCUCUGAUGGACUUUUUCCAGCUCUUUGAUGUGCCAAAGAUAAUUUCUAACAUACUCCCUCAACCUGUCCCCCCUCCCUAGCUCGGGUUUAAUGUUUCUACUUGUUAUGUUUACCUGUCUGUACUAGGCUGCAAGCUCUGCAAGGCAGGGGCCUUGCCAUCUUUCAUGUUGAAGGAGUUGUAACAUCAACAACUAUAAAACAGGAUACAAAUUAUCAAAGCAACAAAAAAUGAGGCAGCUCAGCUCUUGGGCAUCUUCUGCACUGAGAAGCUUGCACCGAGCCUCACGGUGCUCUGGAUUUUGAGUCUGCGUGACUGCAGCAGAGAGAGUGGAUGGGUGCAUCCCCAGACCUGUCCCUGGACUUCAGUAGAUUAUAUGCAAGAGAUGGGUAAAGCUGAGUCAUGUGUGCUGCCUGCUCCAAGUCCUUGCAGAUGGGACGUGUCCCUGAGCGUCCCUCUGAUCCAGCAGCACGCCUGGGAACCUCCAGUACGCUAGCAGCCAGGUCCUGCUCACCUUCCCAUUCUGAGAGCCUCUUGCAGCCUAGGAUGUGUCACUGUUGCUGCGAUAACCUCCUGUUGUGCUGGGAGUGGUGCCUCUGUGGUGGCAGCCAGGGAGCAGGCUUUGAUCCCGUGCAUCCACGCUUCUUUUGGGAUCCCAGCCUCUGUGUCUCCCUUGCCUAGGGCUGCAGAAGGCCCUCACAAUCUCUUCACAUGCAGAGCAGCACCCUUGGGUGCUCACAGUCACUCUGGCCCUUUGCUAGGAUCCAGAAGUGCUCUCAUCGCUGGCUCCUUCUUUGCCCAUCUGCCUCUGCAGACUCUUCCACACUUCUUUCAAACAAAGCUAUUAUUCCGCUGACCCAGGCCUGCUGUUUGCUGAUGAAUUGGAUGCUGUUCACUGCAGCUCAAAAUACUCUUUGCUGCUCUUAAUGCUUUCCAUUCAUUUUCUAUGGCGAUCAGAUUCAUGGCAGCAGCUACGCAGCUUUCAUUGAUACCCAAUGCAGCAUCUAUACCCUCAGCAAAGGCUUUUUUGUGCAUCAGGCUCCAAACCUUUCAAGCAGGCUAUGGUGAAAAGCCAUAAUGUCCCUUUUCUGCCAUGCCCCAAGCCACCUGCAGCCUGUGAAAGAGCACAUUGUUUCUGCAAUUAACGAAACAACACAGGCAGUGUCUUUGCUGCUUGUGGGAGAGGGCUCUGGGUAAUCCCUCCUUGCUCUGCUCCCAGCCUUCAUCCCACCCCCCAUCCUGUCUGAGGCCCAAUUUCAGCCCCACUGCUGCUUCAUUCCAAAUGAGGGUGAGUUUUGCAGGAUAGCAUUUUGGUCCAGCAGCUAAAUGAACCUCCUGAUAUAGUGUUACCCAGUGGGCUGGCUGUGCUGGGUGCCACAGGCAGCUCCUAGGUGUGAGGGUUUUCAAUGAACAGCCACAGUUUUCUUCUUGCUCUCUCUGGAAGACUGUGUGCCUCUAAGUGACCAACGUGGAGAGGGAGGUGUUGGGUUGUUGUGUUUUUCCUUCUUUUUCCUUUUCAUUUUUCUCUUCCCAAAAAAGCACUGUAUAGGGGAAAGGUGCUGUACUACCUUUUGCUCAGAUAAAAGGAGCCUGACAGCUUAGCACUGCUCAGAGACAGGAAAAUUGCUUUGUCUGGUGAAUAUUCUAAAGACAUGAAAUAACAAGACAUGAUCAAAAUCCUCUGCUCAACAGAAGAGCUGUUGCAGCUCUUGCAGAGCCAACAAUUCCUUUGUUUCCCUCAGCUUCUGUAGAACAAUGUGAGAGAAGGAGCAGCAGAGAUUUGUGACUGCUUUCUGCUAACGAAACAGGAGGUUCGGGCUGCAGUUUGUGCUGGCAGCCUCAGGAAAAGUCCCUGCCCCAGCAGAGAAGUUGGGGUUUACCACGGGCAGGUCCUUGCUGGCACUAACCUGGUUCACCUGCUGGAGAAAGGAGCUGUCAGCGACAGUUCGGCGCUGUCGGGAGCCACCCAGAUGCAGCACGGGCACGUUGGCGUGGUGCAGUGCCAGCCCCGCGCUUACGCCGCUUAUUUUCCAUACAUGGAGCAGCGUCAUGCAGGGAGCAGUAGUGCUGCCUAAGGGAAACCAACAGCGCUGAACCAAGGGUGGAUAACACGCUGAGCUAGCAAAAGGCCAGAAGUAGCACAGCUCAACCAGGGGCUGCAGAUGCAGAACCCCCUGUUUGGUAGGGCCAUCCCUCAGACGAGGCUCGCGGUGAAGCCAGGCACGGGGACUGAGCCGCCUGUUUGCCUUGUGGGAGAAGUCCCAGGCUGCAGUUAGCUUUGGAUGUUUGAUCCUGUCUGAGGUCAUUUCUUCUCCUAUCUGCAAUAUUUCUAUUGCGAAUGCCCUCAAGCAUUUAAUUGAUGUAACACCUCUAAUUGCCCAAUGAACAUAUUGCCUCCAUUGUCCCUGUGAUCCCAGCCACAAACGUCGGGGCAGGAACCUAUCAUUUGCUGGCUUACAGAUGGAGAUGCCGGUAAACAACAGCGUUCUGUGGGUGUCACUGGGAGGUGAUCCCAUCCGGAGCCAGCGCGGGGCUGCCCGUGUGGGAAGCAGGCCAGCAUGCCUGCUGGGGUAGCCACAGCCAGCUUCAUUGCUCAACAACAUUUUUACGUUAUUUUUACAGGGUGCCCAAUGGCCGGGCUUGCCACUGAGCAGCCAUGGGAUGGUGGCUGCAUUGAAUUCCCGGUGAUCCCACUGUUUGCUGGGGGAAAGGCAGGGGGGCAGGAAUGUCUGUAGGUGCACGACGCUGCCUCUACGAUAGGAGAACCCAUCCAUCAAUGUCAGCCUGGAAAAGAGAGGGCUGGGGGCUAUGGCAGGAGCCUAGGGCAUGAUGAAUAGCAGGAAGAAUGGGAGCUGUUGCUCACAAGAUGUAAGGGAUGUUAAAUGAAGUCAUAGACCAGAUAUUUUUAACGCAUUGAGGAGGAAGUCUUUUUCACAUGGACGUAAUUAAUUGGCAGAACUCAUUGCCACAGGAUGCUUCAGGUGCCGAAACUAUACAUUGGUUCAAAAGCAAUUAGGCAAAUUAAUGGGACAGUAACCAGCAGAGGCCUAGUGCGGCUGAUACUGCAGAUGCUGCCUGUGGCUUAGGAAACUGCUCUCCCCCCAUGACCAGAGCUGCAGCCCAGACACACUGUGUCUUCUCCUCCCAGGGUUCUCCAUGCAGGAUUUGCAAUACCCCAGGCAUAGGGAGUUUUCCCCAGUGUAGAAAGAAAUCCCCAGGUCCCCAGCACUGCCACGUGCUUUGCAAGGAGUUGGGGCAGGGGCCUCAGCACACGUGCUUCCACUCCACUCUCUAUUCUGCUGGAUGGGCGAUCCCCAAGGCGCUUUCCCUGUGAUUUGCACAGCUCCAGCUAACUGUGGGAUGUACUGAUGCCAUGAGGUACAGGUGCAGUGCCCAGAAAUUGCAAGGAAAUAGCCCUCGUGUAUAUGCAGGAGGAAAGAGUGAGGGGGUAGUCUGCAGGCUGUGAUUAAAGCUCAGUGCGUUUACAUUUUAAAUGCUCCAGUGCUCAGUCAGUUUAGAUAGCUUAAUCUUUGAGAAUUAGAUAGCUUAAUCAGACAGAAAUAGAAACGGCACAAAGAAGGUCCUGUAAAACCCCAGGGCUCUGGGUAGAGGCGCUCCAAGUUUGACUUCAUUUUUGUUUAAUGCAGCAGUCUGCUAGGUGCUUUUUAGACAAAGUGCCGGAAAGAGAUUUCAUGUGAGGUGAUAUGUAAAGCAAGAACUGUGAUUUGUUUAUUACAUUAAAGAACACAGGCAGAGCUUUAGGAUAAAAGAGUGUAAAAUAAAAUGACGUGGGAAGCCAAACGGCAGCACUUUGUGCCUGGCAGAGAGUGGUGGGACGUGGACUGUGCCAGGUUGCCUUCUCUGCACCGCCCUGGGCUUGAAGGGAUGCUCACGUUGACUUGGGCUUGUAAGGACACUGGCUGCCGCAUAAGGAAACAGUCAAUGGAUGAGAUCUACAGAGAAAAAAACAAACAAGGAUAUAAAUGACAUUCAGCUUUGCUUGUUGAGGUUCACCAAACCUCAUAUUUUCUUCCCAAGCAGAUGUUUUGUUUUGUUUUGUUUUCCUGGCUGAGUGUAUCUUCAGAGCUACUCCAAGGCUGUUUAUUGUAAAGCAAAAAAUCACCUUUGGAAACCAGUUGUGGAAAAUAACACAGGUGACAGCAGUGCAUACCUGCGACACAGCAUUCCUGGGCCUCCGUGGAAAUUCAACAGCCGUGCCGUAUAAUCAAGUCUCCUACUCCCGGUUAGCCUAUCUUGAUCACUUGGAAAAUCUGUAUUCACCCAUGAAAAAUGCACUCGCCCCAAGGCGUGCAGGCGUGGGAUUAUUUACCCACGGUUGGUAAGGGCAGUGAGUGCCUGGCAAAGCCAAUCUGUGUGAGGUGGGCAGUGUAGCUUUUGUUGAAACUCUCCAUCCAAUUAGCAUUCCUACACUGCAUCCUUCCUCCAUUUAUUCUGUCUCUUUUUUUUUCUUUCCUGUCCCUGUAAUGAUGCUUGAGGAACACUGUAGAAGCACUCAUUUUGAGCAGUUUGUCCCCCCCCCCUGUUGUUUCCUUGUUUGUCUCUGCAAAUCCCCAGAGCUCCCCAGAUGCAGCAGUGCAUCAUCGGCCCCCAGCCCUGUGCAUGGAGCUGACAUUGUGUUUUAUGGUUCAAAAUGAAGUGAAAACCUCUGUAGUUACAGUCUCCAGUAAGCUCGCUCAAGGUAGCAAGGAGGAAGAAGAUAAUCUAUUCGGGUCAUUAAGAUGUGAGCAGAUUUCAGCCUGUCCUAAUUAACCCUGUUUGAAAUUUGGCAUGUAUAUAAUCCAUUUUACACACCAGUCCUGACUGAAACUGGUAUUACAGUUCUGCCUCUCAGCAUCUGCUUUUGCAUUUGGAGGCAGUUUACAUAAAUGGGCGGCUUUCAUCUGUGCUCCCACCCCAGCUGUCUCGCAGCAGUGUGGAGCUGUGUUCCCCUGCCCGUCAGGGACAGGCUCAGUGGGGGCACCAGGACUACCAGCAUCAUGGCACACGCUCUGCAGCGGCCUCAGGGGUCCCCGUGCCAGCCUGGGAGCGACACUGGUAGCUGCUUCAAGGAGCUGCCAGAGAACCAGCUCUGUUUGUGCAAGGGUUUGUUUGGUUUUCUUACGAGUGACGUUGAACGAGUGAGCCGUUCCCAGAACAUGCUGCCUAAGCUGACCUUAUCCCUUUAGCCACAAGCGUACCUGCGGCUCGCUGUUUGCUCCCUAGCUCUUUAUGAAUGCUGGUGGGAAUGGCCUGUGGCAGGGCAUGUGGCUUCUGGCAGCAGUAUGUCACGCUGCAGCACCUACCACCCUUUGCCUCUCACCUUGUUUUGGGGUCUUUGGACAUGGUAAGGACAGGCACCCAAGGACAUUCCCAGGCAGAAAAGAGAAUUAGCACCUCCUGGGCACAUCUGCACUGGGAGGCUCCAGCCUGUGGCCUGGAGCUGAAGCACGUGGCAGAGGAAUACAAACAAAUGAGAGGAAGGCUGGUGGUAACUGAGCACAUUUUCCAACACUUUGAGCAACUGUAUUGAUCUCAGCUCAAAGCUGAAGUUUUGGCUGUAAACAAUGAAUGAUAGAGGCCAGGCUUUUAAACGGCCUCUCUGAUGUCCUGGGAGGACACAAGGCUGCUUUGUAAGUGUAGGAGCCAGUCCUAGUAGUGACAAGGCAGAGAGGAAGGUUGUAUUCAAUGCUGAAAUGAUGGUGAAUUGUAUCAAGAGGCUGCUGUGCAAGGGCUGUGGGAGGCAGACAAGUCCCAGCAGGCCUGGGGCACUGCCUGGGGUGUGGGCAGCAGCACAAGGUGAGCCCAGGGCUGAGAGCCUCCCUGUGCUUGGAAGGACAGCCCUGAGGGCUUUCAUAUUGCCAUGCCACCAAAGGGCUUCCACCUGCCUCCGUGGGGUAACACAGCUUGAGGCAAAGGGCGAACUGCCCUCGGCUAAGGGUGUUGUCUCAAUUUGCCUAAAGCUGAGCAGUAGAAGAAAAUGAAAGGUUUUGUGUGUGUGUUUUCAUUUUGUUUGUUUGCUUUCCCCCAAAUUUAAACCACGGUAAGCAGUUUGCUUUCUGAAGUUAAAUUAUCAAGUUGCAUUUUAAAAAGCUAUUUCUGUUCAUGACAGUGGCAAGACUGGAAACUGACCACUGUGUGUCUCCUCAUAAUUGUUUGCCAGAGAAGGGCACAGAGGGCCGAGAUCUUCAUAAGUGAUGACCAUAGAGCUCUGGCCCUUCAAGUGAGCCCAGCUGUGCUCCUUGAUGCUCCUUGAAAGUCCCAAGAGGGUCACCUCACCCCUCAGUGCCUGCAGGUAGCAAGGCCUACCAAUACUGCUUGCUAACGCGGCUACCAAAUGUCAUCUGUCCCACGGAGCUAAGCAGUGUGACAAUAAUGACUCACUGCAGACACACCUUGACCAUCAACUCUUUUGUGAGCCUACCGCACCCUUUCCUGCAGGCUUUGACUCGCUUGGUCUGAAAAGCAUCUUGGAGUUUUUCCUUUGAUAGAGAGUGGCCCUCCGACAGUUUACAGAUGAGGGACAAACCUGUGACUGUACCGCUGGCUUUGCCUGAUGUACCAUUAACGCGUGCUGAUGGUGCUCUGCCUGAAGGCAUUUGCCCUUAGAGAACUGGGAUGCAGAAAUCGUUCAUUUUGUAAUAACUGGAAACUGAGGUUGUAACAAUAUGAGGCACACGUGGAAUUGUACGCUAUCUCUGGAGGUACAUCUAUUUGACAAGGUCAAUACAAAACCAGGCUGCUUUUUGGGUAGUACUUUUAGGCUUGGACAGAAAAAAGUGUAUCUGCAGAUUUAUCCAGUGACUUAAUAAACAUCUUUCUUUUCUCACGUGAACACGUAAUUUGUGUAAGUGCACUGCGAAGUUUAAGAUCUGACUGUUUUCACACUGGUUUCUCUGAAGUUUAUAUUCAAUCUGUGUGUACAGCUCUCACUGUAAUGCAGAUUUAGUUAAUCCCUAUUCCCAUUUCAACAAAUAACCUAAAUAGUGCUAAAAGUUACGAGCUGUGGCUGAAUUCACGUUCUCCUCCCUGCUCACCACAGUCCAUAAUAUUUACUAGUUGAUGUCAUUCAAUUUUAGCCUGACAAUCUGCAUCCUAACGAUUUUUUGGUGUUGCAAUUAAUUGAUUUGCUAAUGUCUUUCUUUUGCCUUUCCCCCCUUCAUUUCCACAUUCCUUUGUCUCCUCUGCUCACAGUGCCUUUAAGAAGUUAUAAACAGAUUCUCUCCCACCAUAUUUGUUUACAUAUGGACAUGGUUAUAC
RNAcentral lists this long non-coding RNA (14808 nucleotides) under Gallus gallus (chicken). RNAcentral's name for it is "lncRNA (ENSGALG00010008926.1)". Lineage: Eukaryota; Metazoa; Chordata; Aves; Galliformes; Phasianidae. The record is from RNAcentral.